RNAcentral lists this ribosomal RNA (492 nucleotides) under uncultured bacterium. Its description in RNAcentral is "partial 16S ribosomal RNA". It matches the Rfam family "Bacterial small subunit ribosomal RNA", at positions 29 to 507 of the family's 1533-position model. The record is from RNAcentral.
AGCGAACGCUGGCGGCAGGCUUAACACAUGCAAGUCGAACGGCAGCACAGUAAUUGCUUGCUCUUACGGGUGGCCAGACGCGGACGGGACAGGUAUACAACGGACCCUACUCUUUCGUGGGGCUUAACGUAGCUAAACCUACGCCCAUAUCGCAUCUGCCCUACGGGUGAAAGCAUGGGAACUUCUCGCCUUGCGCGAUUGAACGCGCCGCUGUUGAACUUGCUAGUUGGCGGGGUAAAGGCCCACCAAGUCGGCGAUCCGUAGCUGGUCUGAGAGGAUGAUCAGCCACACUGGAACUGAGACACGGACCAGACGCCUACGAGAGGCAGCAGUGGGGAAUAUUAGGCAAUGGGCGCAGGCCUGAUCCAGCCAUACCGCGUGUGUGAAGAAGGCCUUCGGGUUGUAAAGCCCUUUUGUUGGGAAAGAAAAGCAUCAGGUUAAUACCCCGCUGGACUGACGGUACCCAAAGAAUAAGCACCGGCUAACUACGUG